UCCGUCCCAUAUGAAAAGAUUAUAUUAGAAUUGAAUGAAGCUUUGUUUAUAUAUUGAUAAUGACAGUAUAUAUAUCGUGUCUUGACUAAUUGCGUGCCAGCAGUCGCGGUAAUACGUAAGAGACUAGUGUUAUUCAUCUUAAUUAGGUUUAAAGGGUACCCAGACGGUCAAUAUAGCUUAUAAAAUGUUAGUACUUGACUAGAGUUUUAUGUAAGAGGGCAGUACUUGAGGAGGAGAGAUGAAAUUUCGUGAUACCAAAGGGACUCUGUAAAGGCGAAGGCAGCCCUCUAUGUAAAAACUGACGUUGAAGGACGAAGGCACAGAGAACAAACAGGAUUAGAUACCCAAGUAGUCUUAUGCAGUAAAUGAUGAAUGCCAUAGGUUAGAUGGGUGGGUUAGUCGUAGUUGAGUUAGUUUAGCAAACUAAUGGAUUCAGACUAGUCCACCAUAUAUUUGGUCUAUAAAUGAAAGUGUAAGCAUUUCACCUCAAGAGUAAUGUGGCAACGCAGGAACUGAAAUCACUAGACCGU
This 530-nucleotide ribosomal RNA is filed under the name Fusarium torulosum. RNAcentral's name for it is "SSU rRNA". It matches the Rfam family "Bacterial small subunit ribosomal RNA", at positions 393 to 917 of the family's 1533-position model. Lineage: Eukaryota; Fungi; Ascomycota; Sordariomycetes; Hypocreales; Nectriaceae. The record is from RNAcentral.